GGACCUAGCGGCGGACGGGUGAGUAAUGCUUAGGAAUCUGCCUAUUAGUGGGGGACAACAUCUCGAAAGGGAUGCUAAUACCGCAUACGUCCUACGGGAGAAAGCAGGGGAUCUUCGGACCUUGCGCUAAUAGAUGAGCCUAAGUCGGAUUAGCUAGUUGGUGGGGUAAAGGCCUACCAAGGCGACGAUCUGUAGCGGGUCUGAGAGGAUGAUCCGCCACACUGGGACUGAGACACGGCCCAGACUCCUACGGGAGGCAGCAGUG
RNAcentral lists this ribosomal RNA (265 nucleotides) under Acinetobacter baumannii OIFC083. RNAcentral's name for it is "partial 16S ribosomal RNA". It matches the Rfam family "Bacterial small subunit ribosomal RNA", at positions 88 to 356 of the family's 1533-position model. Lineage: Bacteria; Pseudomonadati; Pseudomonadota; Gammaproteobacteria; Moraxellales; Moraxellaceae. The record is from RNAcentral.